RNAcentral lists this ribosomal RNA (490 nucleotides) under uncultured bacterium. RNAcentral's name for it is "partial 16S ribosomal RNA". It matches the Rfam family "Bacterial small subunit ribosomal RNA", at positions 30 to 507 of the family's 1533-position model. The record is from RNAcentral.
AUUGAACGCUGGCGGCAGGCCUAACACAUGCAAGUCGAAUGGUAACAGGAAACAGCUUGCUGUUUCGCUGACGAGUGGCGGACGGGUGAGUAAUGUCUGGGAAACUGCCUGAUGGAGGGGGAUAACUACUGGAAACGGUAGCUAAUACCGCAUAACGUCGCAAGACCAAAGAGGGGGACCUUCUGGCCUCUUUCCUUCAGAUUUGCCCAGAUGGGAUUAGCUAGUAGGUGGGGUAACGGCUCACCUAGGCGACGAUCCCUAGCUGGUCUGAGAGGAUGACCAGCCACACUGGAACUGAGACACGGACCAGACUCCUACGGGAGGCAGCAGUGGGGAAUAUUGCACAAUGGGCGAAAGCCUGAUGCAGCAAUGCCGCGUGUAUGAAGAAGGACUUCGGGUUGUAAAGUACUUUCAGCGGGGAGGAAGGGAGUAAAGUUAAUACCUUUGCUCAUUGACGUUACCCGCAGAAGAAGCACCGGCUAACUCCGUG